This is a non-coding RNA of Delphinapterus leucas (beluga whale), 817 nucleotides long. The record is from the annotation of a RefSeq genome assembly. Lineage: Eukaryota; Metazoa; Chordata; Mammalia; Artiodactyla; Monodontidae.
UCCCUCCUUCUAGGGGUGGAAGAAGGAAGCUUGAAGAGCAAGGUCCUACCUCUCUUCGGAGACGUGUGGUGUGAGGCUGGGUCCUGAAGAUGUUGGUGUUUCUGCUGCUUCUGGGACCCGGCUCUGGGCUCAGUGCUCUCGUCUCUCAACACCCCAGCAGGGCUAUCUGUAAGAGUGGAGCGUCUGUGACCAUCCAGUGCCGUUCAGGGACACUUCAAGCCACAACUGCGUAUUGGUAUCAUCAGUUCCCGAAACAGGGCCUCGUGCUGAUAGCCACUUCUAAUGAGGGCUCCGAUGCCACGUACGAACAAGGUUAUACCAAGGCCAAGUACCCCGUCAGCCACCCAAACCUCACAUUUACAUCUCUGAUGGUGACAAAUGUGCAUCCUGCAGACAGCAGCCUCUACUUCUGUGGUGUCAGAGACACAGCGCUGGGCAGAGAUGAGAGACCCAAACAAGAACCUUUGUAACAGCUACCACCCCCCACCCCACCAAACCCAUGGAGCCCCGUGGAAGGAGGUGUGGAGAGAGAAAAACCACAGCCUCUCUGACUGAGUCAGCUGUGAUCGUGUGUAUGCAGAAAGAGAGAGAAAAUAUCUGAGUACGGAGCGUGGAAAAAGCAUGGUGUUAGAGAGCUAGCCAUAUGGGAAUGGAGCUGGUCCUAUAAAUGGCCAACCAACCUGGAAAGUUCCCUGGGCUGAAAAUUAUAAAACCUGGAUUUUUCUUCUGACUCUGCCAUAUGUUAACCAUAUCUUCUUAGAUAAAUCAACACAUAAUCCUAUAGGCACAUCUCAAAAUGCUUCUAUAAUGCACUGUG